This 1505-nucleotide ribosomal RNA is filed under the name metagenome. RNAcentral's name for it is "bacterial SSU rRNA". It matches the Rfam family "Bacterial small subunit ribosomal RNA". The record is from RNAcentral.
GAGUUUGAUCAUGGCUCAGAUUGAACGCUGGCGGUAUGCUUAACACAUGCAAGUCGGACGGCAGCGGGCCCUUCGGGGCGCCGGCGAGUGGCGGACGGGUGAGUAACGCGUAGGAAUCUGCCCUGUAGUGGGGGACAACUUAUGGAAACUUAAGCUAAUACCGCAUACGCUCCUUCUCGGAAGAGGGGGAGGAAAGCGGGGGACCUUCGGGCCUCGCGCUAUGGGAUGAGCCUGCGUUGGAUUAGCUAGUUGGCAGGGUAAAGGCCUACCAAGGCGACGAUCCAUAGCUGGUCUGAGAGGACGAUCAGCCACACUGGGACUGAGACACGGCCCAGACUCCUACGGGAGGCAGCAGUGGGGAAUAUUGGACAAUGGGCGCAAGCCUGAUCCAGCAAUACCGCGUGUGUGAAGAAGGCCUGAGGGUUGUAAAGCACUUUCACUGGGGAGGAAAAAGUGGCGGCCAAUACCCGUUACCUUGACAUUACCUAGAGAAGAAGCACCGGCUAACUCCGUGCCAGCAGCCGCGGUAAUACGGAGGGUGCGAGCGUUAAUCGGAAUUACUGGGCGUAAAGCGUGCGUAGGCGGCCUGUUAAGUCAGAUGUGAAAGCCCUGGGCUCAACCUGGGAACGGCAUUUGAAACUGGCAAGCUAGGGUUAGGUAGAGGGGAGUGGAAUUUCAGGUGUAGCGGUGAAAUGCGUAGAUAUCUGAAGGAACACCAGUGGCGAAGGCGGCUCCCUGGACCCAAACUGACGCUGAGGUACGAAAGCGUGGGUAGCAAACAGGAUUAGAUACCCUGGUAGUCCACGCCGUAAACGAUGUCGACUAGCCGUUGGGCCCUUAUAGGGUUUAGUGGCGCAGCUAACGCAUUAAGUCGACCGCCUGGGGAGUACGGCCGCAAGGUUAAAACUCAAAUGAAUUGACGGGGGCCCGCACAAGCGGUGGAGCAUGUGGUUUAAUUCGAUGCAACGCGAAGAACCUUACCUACCCUUGACAUCUACAGGACUUAGCAGAGAUGCUUUGGUGCCUUCGGGAACAGUAAGACAGGUGCUGCAUGGCUGUCGUCAGCUCGUGUCGUGAGAUGUUGGGUUAAGUCCCGUAACGAGCGCAACCCUUAUCCCUAGUUGCCAGCGCGUAAAGGCGGGAACUCUAAGGAGACUGCCGGUGAUAAACCGGAGGAAGGUGGAGACGACGUCAAGUCAUCAUGGCCCUUAUGGGUAGGGCUACACACGUGCUACAAUGGCCGGUACAGAGGGCUGCGAACUGGCAACAGUAAGCCAAUCCCACAAAGCCGGUCCCAGUCCGGAUUGGAGUCUGCAACUCGACUCCAUGAAGUCGGAAUCGCUAGUAAUCGCGGAUCAGAAUGCCGCGGUGAAUACGUUCCCGGGCCUUGUACACACCGCCCGUCACACCAUGGGAGUGGGUUGCAAAAGAAGUAGGUAGUCUAACCUUCGGGAGGGCGCUUACCACUCUGUGAUUCAUGACUGGGGUGAAGUCGUAACAAGGUA